Lagopus muta (rock ptarmigan) is the source of this 538-nucleotide long non-coding RNA. RefSeq lists it as uncharacterized. The record is from RefSeq and is a predicted model, not a curated record. Lineage: Eukaryota; Metazoa; Chordata; Aves; Galliformes; Phasianidae. The transcript has 3 exons.
GGGGGUUUUGCUGGAGAUCUCUGGGUUCCUGAGGCCUUCUGAAGGUUCCCUGGUUCCAGACUCCCCAGCCCUUGUGUUGUGCUGCUCCAAGAGACUCACUGCUGCUCUUUUAGAAGAGAGAAAAUGAGGGUACAGGAGAAGAGCUGAAACCAUGGCAGAGGGAAUGGAAACACAAAAGAUAUUAUAGCACCAAAAAAAAACCCCGUGAAUGAGAAGCAUGGAAAAGAGACCAGUGAAAGCAAUACUGUUGAUUUUGUUUGAUUUCAAUAUAUCACUGAGGCUGAGAAACAAAUGACUUUGGUCCCUGCAACAUGGGUAUGGUACAGACAGAAAGUAAAUGGCUUACAUCAUGAAGUGGUUCCUGGCAGCAUGCACAAGCCUUACCUCAGUGGAAGGGAAUACAUGCAUAUUCAAAGGCGUUUACUAAAGUAAUGAAGAAAGGAGAAGCAGUGUUUUCCCUUGACUUGGAAUUCCCACUUCUGCUCAGCUGGGAAUGCAAGAAUAAUUAAUCAAAGUGCUUAAAUAAGUUUCUCUCUGC